This 362-nucleotide ribosomal RNA is filed under the name Lacrymaria lacrymabunda. RNAcentral's name for it is "partial large subunit ribosomal RNA". It matches the Rfam family "Eukaryotic large subunit ribosomal RNA", at positions 303 to 654 of the family's 3401-position model. Lineage: Eukaryota; Fungi; Basidiomycota; Agaricomycetes; Agaricales; Psathyrellaceae. The record is from RNAcentral.
AAUCCAUCUAAAGCUAAAUAUUGGCGAGAGACCGAUAGCGAACAAGUACCGUGAGGGAAAGAUGAAAAGAACUUUGGAAAGAGAGUUAAACAGUACGUGAAAUUGCUGAAAGGGAAACGCUUGAAGUCAGUCGCGUUGGCCGGGAAUCAGCCUUGCUUUUGCUUGGUGUACUUUCUGGUUGACGGGCCAGCAUCAGUUUUGACCGGUGGAAAAAGUUCAGGGGAAUGUGGCAUCUUCGGGUGUGUUAUAGCCCUUGUUCGUAUACAUCGGUUGGGACUGAGGAACUCAGCACGCCGCAAGGCCGGGUCUUUGACCACGUUCGUGCUUAGGAUGCUGGCAUAAUGGCUUUAAUCGACCCGUUG